RNAcentral lists this ribosomal RNA (497 nucleotides) under uncultured bacterium. Its description in RNAcentral is "partial 16S ribosomal RNA". It matches the Rfam family "Bacterial small subunit ribosomal RNA", at positions 28 to 507 of the family's 1533-position model. The record is from RNAcentral.
GACGAACGCUGGCGGCGUGCCUAAUACAUGCAAGUUGAGCGAUGAAGAUUGGUGCUUGCACCAAUUUGCAGAGCAGCGAACGGGUGAGUAACGCGUGGGGAAUCUGCCUUUGAGCGGGGGACAACAUUUGGAAACGAAUGCUAAUACCGCAUAACAACUUUAAACAUAAGUUUUAAGUUUGAAAGAUGCUAUUGCAUCACUCAAAGAUGAUCCCGCGUUGUAUUAGCUAGUUGGUGAGGUAAAGGCUCACCAAGGCGAUGAUACAUAGCCGACCUGAGAGGGUGAUCGGCCACAUUGGGACUGAGACACGGCCCAAACUCCUACGGGAGGCAGCAGUAGGGAAUCUUCGGCAAUGGACGAAAGUCUGACCGAGCAACGCCGCGUGAGUGAAGAAGGUUUUCGGAUCGUAAAGCUCUGUUGGUAGAGAAGAACGUUGGUGAGAGUGGAAAGCUCAUCAAGUGACGGUAACUACCCAGAAAGGGACGGCUAACUACGUG